Molecule: non-coding RNA, 302 nt
Organism: Nicotiana tabacum (common tobacco)
Lineage: Eukaryota; Viridiplantae; Streptophyta; Magnoliopsida; Solanales; Solanaceae
Source: RefSeq, a predicted model, not a curated record
GUCUUUUGUACAGUUACACGUAGCCUAAAAAUUUCUGAAUGCAAUUCUGAAAUGGAAGACGAACAAGGAGAGUGGGAGGAUGGGCUGAUCUGUGGUUACUUCCAAUAUAUGCCUGGUGUCACUAGAGCGAAGUUGUGCGUUUUUGCUGAGUAUUCUGCCUCCCGCGCGCGAACAGGCGCGCGAGCUCGCGCGUCUGGAAGGUUUUAAAUAUCUUAAAGACCGGAAAUAAGAGAAAUUGAGUCAUUUCUCAAGCUUAGGGCUUCCUCUUCACCCCCAACUCGACCAAGGCAUCUAAUUGCAUA